This 584-nucleotide ribosomal RNA is filed under the name Streptomyces sp. Its description in RNAcentral is "bacterial SSU rRNA". It matches the Rfam family "Bacterial small subunit ribosomal RNA", at positions 139 to 737 of the family's 1533-position model. Lineage: Bacteria; Bacillati; Actinomycetota; Actinomycetes; Kitasatosporales; Streptomycetaceae. The record is from RNAcentral.
UGGGACAAGCCCUGGAAACGGGGUCUAAUACCGGAUAAUACUCCUGCCUGCAUGGGCGGGGGUUAAAAGCUCCGGCGGUGAAGGAUGAGCCCGCGGCCUAUCAGCUUGUUGGUGGGGUAAUGGCCUACCAAGGCGACGACGGGUAGCCGGCCUGAGAGGGCGACCGGCCACACUGGGACUGAGACACGGCCCAGACUCCUACGGGAGGCAGCAGUGGGGAAUAUUGCACAAUGGGCGAAAGCCUGAUGCAGCGACGCCGCGUGAGGGAUGACGGCCUUCGGGUUGUAAACCUCUUUCAGCAGGGAAGAAGCGAAAGUGACGGUACCUGCAGAAGAAGCGCCGGCUAACUACGUGCCAGCAGCCGCGGUAAUACGUAGGGCGCAAGCGUUGUCCGGAAUUAUUGGGCGUAAAGAGCUCGUAGGCGGCUUGUCACGUCGGGUGUGAAAGCCCGGGGCUUAACCCCGGGUCUGCAUCCGAUACGGGCAGGCUAGAGUGUGGUAGGGGAGAUCGGAAUUCCUGGUGUAGCGGUGAAAUGCGCAGAUAUCAGGAGGAACACCGGUGGCGAAGGCGGAUCUCUGGGCCAU